CUUCCAUACCAUGUGAUGCGCGGCACUC
This 28-nucleotide small RNA is filed under the name Bombyx mori (domestic silkworm). RNAcentral's name for it is "ovarian small RNA-4983". The record is from RNAcentral. Lineage: Eukaryota; Metazoa; Arthropoda; Insecta; Lepidoptera; Bombycidae.